RNAcentral lists this unclassified non-coding RNA (292 nucleotides) under fungal sp. RNAcentral describes it as "partial internal transcribed spacer region". The stretch from base 1 to 46 matches the Rfam family "Eukaryotic small subunit ribosomal RNA", at positions 1786 to 1831 of the family's 1831-position model. Lineage: Eukaryota; Fungi. The record is from RNAcentral.
AAGUCGUAACAAGGUCUCCGUAGGUGAACCUGCGGAGGGAUCAUUAACACGUUUAUUUCACUAUAAACGUAUCUAUACCAAACAAAUAGAAACAAGAGUACGAAGGAAUGAAAAUUCCAACUUACUUAGUUCCUCUCCCUCUCUAUACUAUAUAUAGUGUAGUUAGGCUCUUUUAUAUAAAUUAACCCCUUUCCACCUUUAAUCACAAUCCAUGUCUUAUAUGUGAGUUUACGCUCAGCAUUGAUAUACUAAUGUAAAAGCACAACUCUUAGCAACGGAUAUCUUGGUUCUC